AUUCCAUGGAUUUCUGCUCUUAUAUGUAUUUUCUAUUUUCUCUCUUGUACAGCUAUUCUGUUACUAGUUUUUGAGUUGGAAACUUAGAUGACUGGUUUUUAGCCUUUCUUCUUUCCUAACAUAUGCAUUCCAGGCUCUACAUUCCCCUCGAAAUGCUGCUUGAGCUGAAUUAUUACCAGUCGGGUCCUUCUCCUGCCCACGUGAAGGAAGAAGGCGCAGUGGGGCUGAGGCCUCACUAGGGCACCCACACGGAGCGCUGCGCUCAGCCUUCUGGACCCGGUACCUCCCCAGGCUCUGAGGACAGCAGCAGCCCCAGGACGGACGGAGUUCUUCGGGCUGGGAAGUCCAAGAUCAAGGCACUACCAUGUGAUGCAGGCAGAAGGUGGAAGGACAAAAGGGAAGAAACCUCAUGUCCCCACAUGGUGGAAAAGCAGAAGUGCAAGAGAGAACCAGGAUCUUACUUUGUCACCCAGGCUGGAAUGCAGUGGCCCAAUCAUGGCUUACUGCAGCCUCGACCUCCUGCACUCAAGCGAUCCUCCCACCUCAGCGUCUGGAGUAGCUGGGACCACAGGCGUGUGCCAUCACACCUUACAAAUUUUUGUGUAUUUUGUACAGAUGGGGCUUCACCAUGUUGCUCAGGCUGGUCUCAAACUCCUGGGCUAAAACAAUCUGUCUGCCUCAGCCUUCCAAAGUGCUGAGAUUACAGGCAUGAGCCACAGUGCCUGGCCAAAGUAUUUCUUUAUACAUGUGUCUUUAUGUGUAUGAUUAUUUAUAUACCUAUAUAUAUAAUACUGACAACUGUUAAAGAUACCAAAAAGCACAAAGACGAGUAAAAAGAGUGAAUAUAACACAACAAAUGCCAACUCAGAGAGAACAAGUGUUAACAUUUUGUCCUGCUUGUUUCCAGGGUUUUAAAAAACUAAGUAAAUAAAACAUUCAAAUUCUUCUGAUCCCAUUCCCAUACCUCCCUUCCUCCACUGGGAGAACCAAUAUCAUGAUUUGGUGUGGAUCUUUCUUAUCAUUUUGUCACUUUGUAUACAUUUGCCUGUCUCUUUAUCUGUUUAUCUACCUACCUAUCUAUCUGCCUAUCAUCUAUCUAUCUGAUCAUUCUCUGUAUAUUUCUAAUUCUGCAGAAAGAAGGAACAGAAGGAGCUCUUGCUUGAGUAAGGCACUGGUCAUGCCUCAAUUAGAACCCAUGCAGGUUACUCAACUCUGCAGAGAGGGACAGAAGGGUCUUCUACCAACCCAGCAUCUGCACCCCUGAAGUCAGACAUGGCUGUGGUCGCUUUUGGGUUUUGACCUGUUAGCAAUGUUUUCAAAAAGGACCAAGAGAAUGCAGGCAUACAAGCACUUUGUGGAUGGUGGGCCCUGUGCAGAUUUGGCCUGUCACAAACCCUGCUUCAUACACAUCCUCAUAGCAAUCACAGCAGUGAAAACUGGGAAGACUCGCCCAGGUGCCCGCUCCCCACUGGCCCGCCCUUACUCCCUCCACCUCUCCACAGCAACUCAUCCUUUGGACCACCCAAACCUGUCAGAAGAGUGUCUCCGUCUCCAUUUUUGACUUUCCAGAGAGGUCUGAAGCCACCUCCACACAGUGAGGUGGCAGACUUGUGGACAGGUCCUGAAGCCAUACCAGGAGCUGACCAGCCCCAGAAAAUGAGGACAUGGCUGCAGGGAUAGAAAGCCAAACUGUGGGUCAAGGGGACUUCAGCCUGUCCAUCUGGGGGCACGCUUAAAGGUCUAUGAUGGGGCCAAAAAGAAAGGUGCAGGCUAAGGACAGAAGGACAGCUCAGCCUGAACAGCCCCAUCCUGCAGCCCACCCCAGCCCUGAGCCUCUGGAACUCUAUCACUGCAUCCUGGGGCACCUGCCCCCCAAGCCCCCACCCCAGGAAGAGUAUCUAUGCUGUCAGAGGCUGCAGACGGUGCCAGCAGAAGGUGGAGAGGAAGCUUGGGGCCUUUGGUGGGUGGGACGCAUCAACACACACAGCCGCAGCAGCUGCACAUAGAUCAACAGGCCAUCCGUGCCUCGAACACCUACAUCAACGGCCAAGGCCUUGGCCACCCUGCCCAGCUCCGUGCACCGCUAGUUGCCUUGGUGGAUCACAGCCGCUCCACGCUCCACAGGAAGAAUCCCAAACCCGGUGACCGGCUGCCCCAGCAUUCCAAGUACCUGCUGCUGAUACCUCUACCCUUGGUUAGACACAAUUCCAGCAGGGCAGGACCACUUGCCCUGAGGAGAAGAGCCCAGGGACUCGUCACAGGCAGGGAACCACUGCCUCUUCUAUCCUGCCUGGAGCAUAACGGCGGUCCAAUGAGUAGACAGGUGGACUCACCACUCAGAUACUCUGCUGUGGCCAACGUGGGGAAGACUGAAUGAUGGAGAGCCUGUUAUACAAACCACAGGGGAACACUUGCCAUUGUUUCUGCUAUUGUCCCACAGUUGUUUAAGAUGGAAGCAGGAGCCCCUGGAAGCUUUCAGAGAAGAAGCUAGCCAGAAACUCACAAGCCCUUUCCUUGAGAAGCUCUGGCCCCAUCACUGCGGAGUGCUGGCCAUGCUCCCUGGUCACUGCCCAUGGGACGGCCAGCUCCCGGGCAGGUGGUGCUAAGCAGGUUGGCGGGUGUUACCCCUCCCAGUCUCCUCAAGAUUAGAAUCUGUUCCAGGCCACCAGACAGAGCUCCCUGCCAACGCUCUCACUAGAACUGUUCCUGGAUGUGCUUCGAGAGCUGUGGCCAAGCUCUUGUGACAACACCUCCUGGAAUAACAAAGGGAUCCUUUGUGGGCAAUCGGCUCCAGCUAACAGCUUGCGGAUGGCUGGACUCCCUCUGGCAUUUUCUUUUCAAGACAGCCGCCCCCCCAUUCCCAUCCAUUCAGCUCAAGACAAUCUGAGAUCGUACACAGAUAAUUGGGCCAUUUGUUCAACCUGAAGAGAUGAAUGUUCUCCAUGUUAGGGAAGAUGGUCACCAGCAAUCCAACUGGCAACAUUGCAGCUCUGGAAAUGAAGGCAGCUCCACGGUCUCUUCCCCCAUCCCUUGAUUACCCGUGUGGCCACAGGGUGGGGUACAGUGACUAGAGAGUCCACUAGAAUGCCAUGAUUGGAGUGAGGGUACAGCAGUUCCCCAAAGUGGGGCAAUUGAGGUGGCCCUGAAGAGGAAAAAACAACAGACAUCCAGGAGAAAAUCACUGGAGCUUGAGGGGCCUCUAGGAGGACACAUUCUGACCUGGAGACCUGGAGGGCUCCCGUGAGAGGAACAACUGAAAUCUCCAACAACCACAGGCUGAGGAGCUUGGGCUGGGCAGGUUUACAAAGACCACUGCCUCAGAAAGGACCGCGAGCGGUUGAUCUGCAGGCUCUGAGCAUGAGGCAGCAGCAAAUGGACCCUCACUGGGGACACCCAGAGGCCAGGUCCCGUGCAGGACCAGGAGUCAGCAGCCAACCCCUGCUCAUCUGCUGGGGGUCCGUGGUCCGCUAAGCGGCCCCACAGAGGGCCCUCUCCCAUCAGGCUGGCUCUGGGAUGACUGGGUGGUGGCCCUCACAGCAGUAGCUAACAUUCUGGGAACCAGACUCCCUGGGCACUGCCCCACUGCCUCCUGCCAACAGUGCUGUUAUGUGGAUUUUAGGCUUUAGAAUCAGAAACAGGCCCUAAAUUAAGCACAGAAAGAGAGAAAGGGUGGGAGGGAAAGAGAAGAGGAGAGACUGAGGAGAUAAAGGGAGGCAGAGAGAGAAAGUGUUGGAAGGACACGGGACAGUUGAAGGAAAAGACGAACAGCCGCUUUCGGGAUAGACUGGGGCAGGACCAAAGCCUGCUGCUCUGCCGACCCAGGACCAACCCCCUUCAGUCCCUGUGACUGCCCCGGAAGUCCAGUUCCCAGGACUAACGCGGGCCGGUACCUGCCCCUGGGAUCAGGGAUCAGGUUCUGUGAUUGACCACCCCACCAUGCGGAGCUGAGGAGGGGCCACUAACUCAAAGGAAGGGUGAGAAGGAGGGAAGUAUAUUUUGGACAGACAAAACCAGCAGCUCUCAGGCACCACUAGCUCCAUUUUCCAGGUGAGGAGACAGGCUUAGGGAGGGGGCAGGACUUGUCAACAUCACAGUGACAGUGAGUGACAGGACUUCAGCCCAACUAGCUUGACUGCAGUACCACAUCUUAAUCACUGUGUUUGCUCCCCACCCAAUCACGAUGGGUGCCUGGUGGGGACACCUCAUUUGAUCACAAAUCGUAAUUUAACAAAAUAACACAGUGGUUAAGAGUUUGGGGACCUGUUAGAAGGUCACUACAGUCAAACAGGCAAGAGAGGAAAGGACUAGCCUGUCCCAAGACAGUAGAUACGAUGACAGGAGGACAUGAAUCAGUAGAUGCCAGAGAGUGUGAGAAGAAAUCUGUCACGAUUGAGAACUCACAGGACUGGGAAGGGAGGAAGGAGUGGGGUCUACAUUGGCCUCAGGCUUCUGGUUUGGGCAGUGGGUGGAUGGAACUGUCCUUCACUGAGGUGCAAAGCCCAGGAGGAGGAAGCGGUGGCAGUGGAGGUGGGAGAGAGAGGAGUUUCAUUUUGGAAAUGUUGGAUUUGAGGUGCCUGCAGGACACCCAAGUGGAAACGCCCAGUGUUCAGUGGGUCCGUGGGGUGUGGAGCAUGGGAGAGAGCCAUAGGUGGAGCUGGUAUUCCCCCAAUGGCGUGGUAUAGUAUGAGGCUGGCAAAGGCCUGAGGACGGAGCCUGGGCAUCAUGGCAUUUAGGGGCAGGGAAGCCUUCUCAAGUGAGAAAGCAUCAGUAGCUCAUUCUUUCCUUGCAUGAGUCUGAUUCUGUCUGCCUCUUCCUUCCCUGUCUACUCCCCCAACUUUGCCUUACCCAGGUAAGUCAUUGUUUUUUUUUUUUUUUAGAUGAGUUUCACUAUUGUCACUCAGGCUGGAGUACAAUGGCUCAA
Long non-coding RNA from Homo sapiens (human), 4921 nucleotides. RefSeq annotates it as long independently transcribed non-coding RNA 1839. The transcript is spliced from 8 exons. Lineage: Eukaryota; Metazoa; Chordata; Mammalia; Primates; Hominidae. The record is from RefSeq and is a predicted model, not a curated record.